AACGAACGCUGGCGGCAGGCUUAACACAUGCAAGUCGAACGGUUGUAGCAAUACAGCAGUGGCAGACGGGUGAGUAACACGUGGGAACCUUCCUAGGGGUACGGAACAACUCAGGGAAACUUGAGCUAAUACCGUAUACGUCCGUGAGGAGAAAGAUUUAUCGCCCUUAGACGGGCCCGCGGCGGAUUAGCUAGUUGGUGGGGUAACGGCAUACCAAGGCGACGAUCCGUAGCUGAUCUUAGAGGAUGAUCAGCCACACUGGGACUGAGACACGGCCCAGACUCCUACGGGAGGCAGCAGUGGGGAAUCUUGGACAAUGGGCGCAAGCCUGAUCCAGCCAUGCCGCGUGAGUGAAGAAGGUCUUCGGAUUGUAAAGCUCUUUUGCCAGGGACGAUAAUGACGGUACCUGGAGAAUAAGCCCCGGCAAACUUCGUGCCAGCCGCCGCGGUAA
This 451-nucleotide ribosomal RNA is filed under the name uncultured bacterium. RNAcentral's name for it is "partial 16S ribosomal RNA". It matches the Rfam family "Bacterial small subunit ribosomal RNA", at positions 29 to 523 of the family's 1533-position model. The record is from RNAcentral.